RNAcentral lists this transfer RNA (141 nucleotides) under Acidimicrobiia bacterium. Its description in RNAcentral is "tRNA-OTHER". Lineage: Bacteria; Bacillati; Actinomycetota; Acidimicrobiia. The record is from RNAcentral.
ACAGGGACAUGGUCCGAGCUCCUCGCCCAGUCGACACCAUGAUCCAACACCCUUUAUCUCUACUCACCCACCACCUACCAGUUCUCGGACUCAAAAUCCGUUGUCCGAAAGGGCGUGCGGGUUCGAAUCCCGCUCCCGGUA